GUGCUCGCUUCGGCAGCACAUGUACUAAAGUUGGGACAAUAGAGAGAAGAUUAGCAUGGCCCCUGCACAUAAGCAGAAGUCCGAGUAUCUUAGAGGAAACAGAAAUAGCA
Molecule: small nuclear RNA, 110 nt
Organism: Loxodonta africana (African savanna elephant)
Lineage: Eukaryota; Metazoa; Chordata; Mammalia; Proboscidea; Elephantidae
Source: Ensembl